CAGCACCCAGGUCUUUUCCCACAGGGAGCAUUGUAAAAUAUCACUGGGCUCGGCCACCAGGUUAUGUGACCCUUCUGCCUGUGCCCUGCUUCCUGGAAAUGUGACAUUCCUCAUACAGCACCCAGGUGAUGUGACUCUUCUGCUCAUUUUCUACUUAUAGUUGGGAUUGUGACAAAUAUCCUGGCCCAACUCAUAGGUGCUAUGAUGAUUCCCGUACCUGGAAUCAGCCAAUAGGGAGAUAGUGUCUCUUGUAUUGUAGCCUAGGGAAACAAGUAAGAUCCUGGGCCUCCUCUUUGUAUGAAUGUCAUAAAGAGUUAUCAAUCUGACUGGGCAGUGUGGC
This 340-nucleotide long non-coding RNA is filed under the name Homo sapiens (human). Its description in RNAcentral is "non-protein coding lnc-ZNF676-1:1". The record is from RNAcentral. Lineage: Eukaryota; Metazoa; Chordata; Mammalia; Primates; Hominidae.